Molecule: long non-coding RNA, 4103 nt
Organism: Gallus gallus (chicken)
Lineage: Eukaryota; Metazoa; Chordata; Aves; Galliformes; Phasianidae
Exons: 2
Source: RefSeq, a predicted model, not a curated record
GGAGCCCCGCUGGCCGACCCCCGGCACGGCUGUGCCCCCCGCCGCCCCGCUGCCGCCAGCUCCUCCGUGCGCUCUUCUGACGUAGCGAAACCUGCGGGCAGCGCUGCGCUCCCGUUCCUGCUCUAAGAACCGCCGCGGGGGCCUUCCGCGGGGCGAAACCACCGCACCCAGCCUGGCACGGCCCCCGGCACCGCCUUCCCCUCUGCUUUUGGCUUCGGCUUUUUUGUUGUUUCCAUCUCCAGCACGGCCGGCAACGGGAGUCCCAUUGGAGACAGUGUUCGCGAGGGAGAAUCUGAACCGAAGGUGCAAUUUACGUAUAUACACACACAUGUAUAUAUAAUAGCAUCUUCUAUACACGCACGAAGUGUAUAAAUAUACAUAUACACUCACACAUAUAUAUACACUCACAUAUAUAUAUGCGUACGUAUGUAUAUGGAAGUAUAUAUACACCGUGUAUAUAUGUGUAUAUAUACAAUAUAUAUAUAUUGUGUGUAUAUAUAUGUAUAUAAGGAUAUAUACACGCACGGAAGUUGCAGUCUGACUUCAGCAAAGCCCCUCUGUUGCUCCAAGCCGACGGAUUUCCCAUUGCCGUUCCGUGAGCAGCGGCACAAUUUGGGGGCUCCGUUGCUGCUCCUCUGGAAGCGUCGGGAUCUGUGCCGGGGGCCGCCCCCCCCGUCCUGUAUGGAAACUGGAGUGUCAUUCGAUCGAUGGCGGAAAAAAAGAGGAGAGAAAGAAAAGAAGAAGCGAAUAGAAACAAACCAAAGCCGCCGCAUCGCAGCGGGGGGAUCUCAGGGCUGGCUGAGAACCCGUUAUUAAACUCAUCAGAGUGAUAAUGAAGAAGUGCGGAUGCGGAGGGACACCUCGCCCUUCCCCCGCCCCACCGCUCCCCCUUAUUUUGUACUCCUUUUCUCUUUCCUUCCCCCCUUAUCCCACCCCAAAGCGCUGCCGGCCCCGCGCAGAUCCCCUCUCGAUCUCCGCCGUUCCCGUCCCGUCCCCGCGGCACCGUUUGUCCGUUCGCUGCGCGAAGGAUCGGCGCUUUUCGAUUGCUUUAGGAACGCGCCGGUCUUCGUGGUACCGACACAUCGAAUUUAUUGCUAAUUACUGGACGACGUCGGGAUCGGAAAGUGCCAAAAGACUCUCGGGGCCGGGAGGCUGCACUGUGCCGCCCCAUCGCCACCUUCGGCGUGUCGUAAAGGCUCACAGAUGAGUGCAUCUGGAGGUGCGAACUGCUCCGUUUCAGCCCCGGUUGGAUGGAUGCGAGUGCAGCCGGGCGUGCGUAGGGGCUGCCUUUGUUCCUCCGUUUAUCACCCUCGAUGAUAAAACUCGGGGAAGAAAUUAAAGCUUUAGCUUUAGCACAGCGGUGGCUGAGUAGGUGGGACUCAUCCCGAUGGCUCUGUUUUUCUUUUCGGCGUUCGUUUACACGGGCGGGGUGGAUCCAGCCCUCACGAGUUGGACUGGGUUGUCCUUACGGGUCCCCUCCAACUCGGGAUGCCCGAUUGCUCUAUGGCUCUAAAUCCACGCGCUGGGAUCCGCACAGCGCCUAUUUCCAAAGGGGAGGGGAAAAAAAAGACGCAGGCAUCUUUGGUGAGCCCUGAGUGUAACAGCAUCAGCUGCGUACCAAAACGCCUCGGGGGGGUUUGUAAGCAGGGCUGCAUCUGGGUCUUGCACUGAGCCGCUAUUUAGAACGAUCAAACAGAAGCUGAGCCACGCACAGCUGCAAUAUCUAGCUGUGAAAUAAGCAAUUGAAAAAUGAAAUUAAAGCAGAGAAAAGCUUUUACUUGUUAAAGGUCUGCGUGCGUUACUUGCUUUUGCCGCAGCCCUGCAGAAAGGUGCACGCCCCGUGGGGCAACGUGGCUGCUCCCUGUGUUUCACACUGGGCUUCGUGUUACCAACACCUCUGUGGUGCAGGUGCCGGGCAGCUGCGUGGGCACUGAGGCUGUGCAGGAGGAUGGGACGGACAGAGAGAAGUGAGGCGGCAGCAAAGCUUCACGCUGAUGUUCAUUUCUUACACACUACGUAAGGCAGUGCUCUCUAAGGUGGAUGCAAUUCAGCCCGAACCUUCAAGCUCUUACCCUUCAGGUCCUCCCUACAGUAGCAGGCACUGCUCGACUCCCAGACCCUGCCUCUCGCUGUGCUCCAUUUUCCUAUCUCCUCAGUUUGGCUUUUGAGAGCUUCAACAGAAUUGUUGAAUGACAUUUCCUACGGCGGGGCUUUUCCAAACAAAUUAACUUCAUCUCUGCUUGCAAGAAAUAGAAAAACAUAUUUUGCUGGUGCCUGCCUGGAACCGUGCGUGCCUGCGAGGUCCGGAGGGUGACACCUCUUCCACAGCAUUUCCUUUAAUACACCCGUAGAGGAGAAACUAAUGGCUGGGAGCUGUGCCUACGAGAAAGCUGAAAACAUUCUGUACAAAAAUACACUGACCAAAGCCAAGCGUUUGGGCUGUUGGAACGCAGAGCUGGCUUGGGUGCAUCUGCAGAGGGGAUCGGAAAGCAAAUAGUUUGACCUGAGCUGGAAAGGGAGCGCAGAAGGAUGGGACGGUGGGCCCCUCACUCAGCAGAAGGAGGGAGAGCUGCCAUGGGUCCAUCCCACUCUUUGCAUGAAGGCAGAAUCCAGCAGCCCUACAACUGCACGUUGCUAAAAGGAACGGCAGUACAUCUCCGUUGUGGCAUCCAACACAACGAGGGUUCCCAGUAUCUGUCAGUGUGAAUGUCAAAAAUAGGCUGUUUAACGGACUAAAUUAUUUUAUCAGCCCUCCUUUUGGAAGGGAGAAUCCUGCUGAGUAAAGCACAAGAAGUAAAUAAAGCCUCACCAUUGAGGACCUGGCUCCAGUGGGAGUUUUGCUGGAGAAGGGCCCGUACGAACUGACCUAUUUAAUUAAAACGUGACGGCGUGCAUUUGCCUUUACAUCACUACAGCCCAGUGUCAGCCUUAGGGUCGCAGAUCUGCUACAGCUGAGCAAAGUGUCCCGUCUGGGGUCCCCCCUCUUGGUUAGAAAGAAAGCAAAAGGAUGCUCUUAGGGAAAUGGGCUAACGAUUAAAAAUAAGCGUAAUGGUCUAAAUGAACACUGCCGGCAGUAGUAAAAAGGAUGGUUUCAUUGUGUCGGUUGAUGUCGGUUAAUCAUUUUGGGGCCAUCCAGAUCUAAACCGGGGUAAUUUAUUGACUGCAAUAAAAACUGGACGUGUGCCACAUUAUUCAAGAAAAAACAAUACGCUGCAAAAACAAUACGGAGAAGAGGUAAUUUGUACAGAGUUCACGAGACAAUUAUAUAUCAUCUAAGCACAAAACUGACUCACUGUGCCCUUGGCUCCAUAUAUUAGGAGAGGUUUGAAGGAUGUGCUGAACAUACCGAGAGUCCAGGAAUUUUAACUGAAAUCCUGCCUGUAUGCUCAGGUAGGCAUCCAGGGACUGGUGUGAGCCAGCAUACAGACCAGGAGAAGGAUUCAGGAUUCGGGACUCAGGACACAACUUCAUUAUUCGGAGCUGUUUUGCUGAGGAGUGCCUUGAAACUUAAUCAGAAUCAUUGGAAAACUUUGAUGAACAAUUCAAGACCAGAAAAAAAAAAAAAAACCAACAAAAAAACCCCAACCAUUUCAAGAAUUAAUUACUGGUUUCAAACCCUGACGGCGGUCUGAAAGCUGCCUGAAUAUUACAUGCUUCUCUGGCACUUCUGCUGGUGCAGAGCUUCUCUGGAGCAAUCCGGAGGGGACGCCUGUAUGUGAGCAGAUCAUUGAAUCAUAGAAUCACCAAGGUUGGAAAAGACCUACAGGAUCACCCAGUCCAACCAUCCACCCAUCACCAACAGUUCUCACUAAACCAUGUCCCUCAACAAGAUGUGAUCCUUGUUCAAACAGAGCAAAUCUCUGCGGUGCCCGUACCGUGGCAUGGAAGCUGGGCUGUGCCCAUCGAAGCCCAAAAAUGACCUGGAUCAAAACAAAAGCAAGUUGCUGAAUUAUUCUUCAAAUUGCCAAGUCAUAUCUGCACUGCAACCUUCUGAACUCUUGUUGGAUGCUUUUCCUUGAACUUUUCAAGCUAUUUAAGGAAUGUACAAAUAUUUUCUUUGUUGAUUAUGUAAAAAAUUUCAUUAAAUGAAGCUCUCCCCCCUC